RNAcentral lists this ribosomal RNA (1099 nucleotides) under Vibrio parahaemolyticus. RNAcentral's name for it is "bacterial SSU rRNA". It matches the Rfam family "Bacterial small subunit ribosomal RNA", at positions 1 to 1079 of the family's 1533-position model. The record is from RNAcentral. Lineage: Bacteria; Pseudomonadati; Pseudomonadota; Gammaproteobacteria; Vibrionales; Vibrionaceae.
AAAUUGAAGAGUUUGAUCAUGGCUCAGAUUGAACGCUGGCGGCAGGCCUAACACAUGCAAGUCGAGCGGAAACGAGUUAUCUGAACCUUCGGGGAACGAUAACGGCGUCGAGCGGCGGACGGGUGAGUAAUGCCUAGGAAAUUGCCCUGAUGUGGGGGAUAACCAUUGGAAACGAUGGCUAAUACCGCAUGAUGCCUUUGGGCCAAAGAGGGGGACCUUCGGGCCUCUCGCGUCAGGAUAUGCCUAGGUGGGAUUAGCUAGUUGGUGAGGUAAGGGCUCACCAAGGCGACGAUCCCUAGCUGGUCUGAGAGGAUGAUCAGCCACACUGGAACUGAGACACGGUCCAGACUCCUACGGGAGGCAGCAGUGGGGAAUAUUGCACAAUGGGCGCAAGCCUGAUGCAGCCAUGCCGCGUGUGUGAAGAAGGCCUUCGGGUUGUAAAGCACUUUCAGUCGUGAGGAAGGUAGUGUAGUUAAUAGCACUAUCAUUUGACGUUAGCGACAGAGGAAGCACCGGCUAACUCCGUGCCAGCAGCCGCGGUAAUACGGAGGGAGCGAGCGUUAAUCGGAAUUACUGGGCGUAAAGCGCAUGCAGGUGGUUUGUUAAGUCAGAUGUGAAAGCCCGGGGCUCAACCUCGGAAUUGCAUUUGAAACUGGCAGACUAGAGUACUGUAGAGGGGGGUAGAAUUUCAGGUGUAGCGGUGAAAUGCGUAGAGAUCUGAAGGAAUACCGGUGGCGAAGGCGGCCCCCUGGACAGAUACUGACACUCAGAUGCGAAAGCGUGGGGAGCAAACAGGAUUAGAUACCCUGGUAGUCCACGCCGUAAACGAUGUCUACUUGGAGGUUGUGGCCUUGAGCCGUGGCUUUCGGAGCUAACGCGUUAAGUAGACCGCCUGGGGAGUACGGUCGCAAGAUUAAAACUCAAAUGAAUUGACGGGGGCCCGCACAAGCGGUGGAGCAUGUGGUUUAAUUCGAUGCAACGCGAAGAACCUUACCUACUCUUGACAUCCAGAGAACUUUCCAGAGAUGGAUUGGUGCCUUCGGGAACUCUGAGACAGGUGCUGCAUGGCUGUCGUCAGCUCGUGUUGUGAAAUGUUGGG